RNAcentral lists this transfer RNA (77 nucleotides) under Bacteroidia bacterium. Its description in RNAcentral is "tRNA-Asn". It matches the Rfam family "tRNA". Rfam says of the family: Transfer RNA (tRNA) molecules are approximately 80 nucleotides in length. Their secondary structure includes four short double-helical elements and three loops (D, anti-codon, and T loops). Further hydrogen bonds mediate the characteristic L-shaped molecular structure. tRNAs have two regions of fundamental functional importance: the anti-codon, which is responsible for specific mRNA codon recognition, and the 3' end, to which the tRNAs corresponding amino acid is attached (by aminoacyl-tRNA synthetases). tRNAs cope with the degeneracy of the genetic code in two manners: having more than one tRNA (with a specific anti-codon) for a particular amino acid; and 'wobble' base-pairing, i.e. permitting non-standard base-pairing at the 3rd anti-codon position. The record is from RNAcentral. RNAcentral also lists the same sequence under 1 other name. Lineage: Bacteria; Pseudomonadati; Bacteroidota; Bacteroidia.
UCCUCCUUAGCUCAGUUGGUUAGAGCACAUGACUGUUAAUCAUGGGGUCUCAGGUUCAAGUCCUGAAGGGGGAGCAA